Oncorhynchus keta (chum salmon) is the source of this 151-nucleotide long non-coding RNA. RefSeq lists it as uncharacterized. The transcript is spliced from 3 exons. The record is from RefSeq and is a predicted model, not a curated record. NCBI's taxonomy places the organism in Eukaryota, Metazoa, Chordata, Actinopteri, Salmoniformes, Salmonidae.
UUCAGUCCUAACCAGGUGUGUCUCUCCAGGUAUUCCCAGCCAGGUGUAUGGGAGGUGUGUGUUCAGUCCUAACCAGGUGUGUCUCCCCAGGUAUUCCCAGCCAGGUGUGUGUUCAGUCCUAACCAGGUGUGUCUCCCCAGGUAUUCCCAGC